Molecule: non-coding RNA, 968 nt
Organism: Aquila chrysaetos chrysaetos
Lineage: Eukaryota; Metazoa; Chordata; Aves; Accipitriformes; Accipitridae
Source: the annotation of a RefSeq genome assembly
UGUUGGGGGCGGGCAGAGGCGUCGGCGCUGCCCCGGCGAGGGGCCGAGCCGGCGGGGCGCGCAGAAGCCGGCCCGAGCCCGGGCCCGAGCGCGGCUCCGCUCGGCUCCUGUGCGGCUCCCGGCGGGCCCUUCAGCCCCGGCCGGCCCCGGCGCGGCAGGGCACGAUGGCGCCCGGGCUGGGGCCGUGGCUCCUGGCCUUGUCCUUGGCCGCGGGGCCGGCAGGGCUGUGGGCGCAGCUGAGGCUGCUGGAGGACGGCGGAGGGCUGCGAGCGCCCGGGGAGACCGUGCGCCUCUCCUGCCGCGGAUCCGGCUUCAGCUUCGGAGGUUACGCAAUUAGGUGGUACCGUCAGGCAGCCGGCGGCAGUCUCGAGUGGGUGUCCUACAUCAGCGGCUCCUCGGGUUCUAAGGAGUACGGGGCAGGAGUGCAGGGUCGAGCUACAGUGUCCCGGGACAAUUCCCGGUCCGAGUCGAUUCUGUCCCUGCGGGACCUGCAGCCCCGGGACUCUGCCCGCUACUUCUGCGCUGUUCACACGGGGACAGGAAAUCCAGCUGAGCUUUAACACAAACCUGCUGGGGCCCGGCCCAGGGUGCACAAUAUUUGGAGCCAGCGAGUGCUGAGGUGGCUCAGGGCUGUUCCCAGGAAGAGAUUGUCUAUCAGUGCACAGUGCAGGUGGUCCUGGCUUUCGGGAAGAGCUCCUUUCCCAGCACUGCCAAUUUCCGUCUCCUGAGUCCCAAAGGCAGUGUUUUAUUCUGAGAAGGUGGUUCAAUGUGUUUCCAUCACCCAGCCAGGACGGCUGCUCUGCCUGCCUGCAGCCCCUCUCUGCCCUCCCUUGGCCCCUUCUUCCCUGGGGUACCCAAAGCACUGGGGCUUUGGCAACACCAUUGCCUGGCAAUGCCAUUGCCUGCUUCCAUUGACCCUUUUGUGGGCCAUUGCCUUGCACCAGUGAGAGUAAAGCAGUCAUGGAACA